Molecule: ribosomal RNA, 478 nt
Filed under: uncultured bacterium
Lineage: Bacteria
Description: bacterial SSU rRNA
Rfam family: Bacterial small subunit ribosomal RNA
Source: RNAcentral
AACGAACGCUGGCGGCGUGCCUAACACAUGCAAGUCGUGCGAGAAAGUUCCUUCGGGAGCGAGUAAAGCGGCGCACGGGUGAGUAACACGUAGGUAACCUGCCCCCCAGUCUGGAACAACUAGAGGAAACUCUAGCUAAUGCCGGAUGAGACCACGAUCCCUUCGGGGGUUGCGGCCAAAGAUGGCCUCUACUUGUAAGCUAUCGCUGAGGGAUGGGCCUGCGGGCCAUUAGCUUGUUGGUGAGGUAACGGCUCACCAAGGCUGUGAUGGCUAGCUGGUCUGAGAGGAUGACCAGCCACACUGGGACUGAGACACGGCCCAGACUCCUACGGGAGGCAGCAGUGGGGAAUAUUGCGCAAUGGGCGAAAGCCUGACGCAGCGACGCCGCGUGGGUGAUGAAGGCCUCGGUCGUAAGACCUCGUCGCGAGGGAAGGAAGUAAAGGACAGUACGGUAUAAGUAGCGCCGGUCGCCCGUCGA